GUGAAUCAUCAAAUCUUUGAACGCAAAUUGCACUCUCUUCGGAGAGUAUGCGUGUUUGAGGGUCAGCCUAAAAAAAAUCGACAUAGUUGCUGUUACGCGGUAACAUUCGUCGGAAAUUGGGUCAUCUUAAAUAUUUGGGUUUAAGCGGCGUAAAAUUAUCUUUCCGAUUCCAAGAACGUUUCUCAGAUUUUAUCUUUUUUUACGUUUAUGGUAUCGAUCUUUAUUAGACGUGGCAGUUGCAUCGGGUCUCGUCCA
RNAcentral lists this unclassified non-coding RNA (255 nucleotides) under Glomus sp. Its description in RNAcentral is "partial contains 5.8S ribosomal RNA and internal transcribed spacer 2". The stretch from base 1 to 65 matches the Rfam family "5.8S ribosomal RNA", at positions 84 to 154 of the family's 154-position model. Lineage: Eukaryota; Fungi; Glomeromycota; Glomeromycetes; Glomerales; Glomeraceae. The record is from RNAcentral.